RNAcentral lists this ribosomal RNA (742 nucleotides) under Semisulcospira coreana. Its description in RNAcentral is "partial 16S ribosomal RNA". It matches the Rfam family "Bacterial large subunit ribosomal RNA", at positions 1461 to 2564 of the family's 2925-position model. Lineage: Eukaryota; Metazoa; Mollusca; Gastropoda; Semisulcospiridae. The record is from RNAcentral.
UUUAAUUUAUAAUAUUAAUUCUUUUCUAUUAAUUUUUUUGGAUAAGCUCAAAAAAGUUAAGAUUUUCAGCUAAAAUUACUGUGUGGGCUUAAAAUUGGCCAAAAAGUUUGUUAUAGAAUAGUAAUCUUAAUUUAGAAAAUAAAUAUAUUUUAAUCUAAGUCAUUACGGGGACAAGAGCUUUAAUUCUAUGCCUAUGCUAGAAUGAGUAUUAAACCAUUAUAAAGAUUUUCUUCAAAAAAUUAAUUAAUUAGAAGGAAUUCGGCAAGUUUAAUUGCUUCGCCUGUUUAUCAAAAACAUGGCUCUUUGCUCACAUAAAUAUAAAGAGUCGAGCCUGCCCAGUGUUUUUUAACGGCCGCGGUACUCUGACCGUGCAAAGGUAGCAUAAUCAUUUGCCUUAUAAUUGAAGGCUAGUAUGAAUGGUUUGACGAGAGCAAUACUGUCUCCUUUUUAUUUUCAAAAACUUAACUUUUAGGUGAAGAGGCCUAAAUUUUAUUGAAGGACAAGAAGACCCUGUCGAGCUUAAAAGACAUUAUAGGAAUAUUUAAAUUUUUCUAUUUUUUUAGUUGGGGCGACUAGGGAACAAAAAAAGCUUCUUUCUAAUAACAAUCAUGUUUAGAUCCGAUACGAUCAAAGAAAUUAGUUACCGCAGGGAUAACAGCAUAAUCUCUCUUAAGAGACCUAAUCGAAAGAGGGGGUUGUGACCUCGAUGUUGGACUAGAAUAUCCUAAAGAUGCAGAAGUCU